This 220-nucleotide ribosomal RNA is filed under the name uncultured fungus. RNAcentral's name for it is "partial 18S ribosomal RNA". The stretch from base 46 to 220 matches the Rfam family "Eukaryotic small subunit ribosomal RNA", at positions 693 to 869 of the family's 1831-position model. Lineage: Eukaryota; Fungi. The record is from RNAcentral.
GGACUAAUAUGUCGGUCGUGCCUCGGUACGUACUGGCAUCGUUGGUUUCUCCUUUCUGAAGAACCAUGAUGUCAUUUAUUUGGUGUCGUGGGGAAUCAGGACUGUUACCUUGAAAAAAUUAGAGUGUUUAAAGCAGGCUCACGCUUGAAUACAUUAGCACGGAAUAAUGAAAUAGGACGUUUGAUUCUAUUUUGUUGGUUUCUAGGAUCGACGUAAUGAU